This 466-nucleotide ribosomal RNA is filed under the name uncultured bacterium. RNAcentral describes it as "bacterial SSU rRNA". It matches the Rfam family "Bacterial small subunit ribosomal RNA", at positions 355 to 835 of the family's 1533-position model. The record is from RNAcentral.
UGGGGAAUCUUGGACAAUGGGGGCAACCCUGAUCCAGCCAUGCCGCGUGAGUGAUGAAGGCCUUAGGGUCGUAAAGCUCUUUCGCCUGUGAAGAUAAUGACGGUAGCAGGUAAAGAAACCCCGGCUAACUCCGUGCCAGCAGCCGCGGUAAUACGGAGGGGGUUAGCGUUGUUCGGAAUUACUGGGCGUAAAGCGCACGUAGGCGGACCAGAAAGUUGGGGGUGAAAUCCCGGGGGCUCAACCCCGGAACUGCCUCCAAAACUAUUGGUCUAGAGUUCGAGAGAGGUGAGUGGAAUUCCAAGUGUAGAGGUGAAAUUCGUAGAUAUUUGGAGGAACACCAGUGGCGAAGGCGGCUCACUGGCUCGAUACUGACGCUGAGGUGCGAAAGUGUGGGGAGCAAAACAGGAUUAGAUACCCUGGUAGUCCACACCGUAAAACGAUGAAUGCCAGUCGUCGGGUAGCAUGC